ACGGGAGGCAGCAGUGGGGAAUGUUGGACAAUGGGGGAGACCCUGAUCCAGCGACGCCGCGUGAGUGAAGAAGUAUUUCGGUAUGUAAAGCUCUAUCAGCAGGGAAGAUAAUGACGGUACCUGACUAAGAAGCCCCGGCUAACUACGUGCCAGCAGCCGCGGUAAUACGCAGGGGGCAAGCGUUAUCCGGAUUUACUGGGUGUAAAGGGAGCGUAGACGGCAUGGCAAGUCUGAUGUGAAAACCCGGGGCUCAACCCCGGGACUGCAUUGGAAACUGUCAGGCUAGAGUGCAGGAGAGGUAAGUGGAAUUCCUAGUGUAGCGGUGAAAUGCGUAGAUAUUAGGAGGAACACCAGUGGCGAAGGCGGCUUACUGGACUGUAACUGACGUUGAGGCUCGAAAGCGUGGGGAGCAAACAGGAUUAGAUACCCUGGUA
This 434-nucleotide ribosomal RNA is filed under the name uncultured Clostridium sp. RNAcentral describes it as "partial 16S ribosomal RNA". It matches the Rfam family "Bacterial small subunit ribosomal RNA", at positions 341 to 792 of the family's 1533-position model. Lineage: Bacteria; Bacillati; Bacillota; Clostridia; Eubacteriales; Clostridiaceae. The record is from RNAcentral.